This 254-nucleotide ribosomal RNA is filed under the name uncultured bacterium. RNAcentral describes it as "partial 16S ribosomal RNA". It matches the Rfam family "Bacterial small subunit ribosomal RNA", at positions 524 to 776 of the family's 1533-position model. The record is from RNAcentral.
UACGGAGGGUGCGAGCGUUGUCCGGAAUCAUUGGGCGUAAAGGGCGCGUAGGUGGCCCGGUCAGUUCGUGGUGAAAGCGCGGGGCUCAACCCUGCGUCGGCCAUGAAUACUGCCGCGGCUGGAGCACUGUAGAGGCAGGCGGAAUUCCGGGUGUAGCGGUGGAAUGCGUAGAGAUCCGGAAGAACACCGGUGGCGAAGGCGGCCUGCUGGGCAGUUGCUGACACUGAGGCGCGACAGCGUGGGGAGCAAGCAGG